GAUGAACGCUGGCGGCGUGCUUAACACAUGCAAGUCGAGCGGAGAUAUUUAAGAGCUUGCUUUUAAAUAUCUUAGCGGCGGACGGGUGAGUAACGUGUGGGUAACCUGCCAUAUACUGGGGAAUAAUCAUUGGAAACGACGACUAAUACCGCAUGUGGUCACGAGGAGACAUCUUCUUGUGAAGAAAGGGCUUCGGCUCGGUAUAUGAUGGACCCGCAUCUGAUUAGCUAGUUGGUGAGAUAACAGCCCACCAAGGCAACGAUCAGUAGCCGACCUGAGAGGGUGAUCGGCCACAUUGGGACUGAGACACGGCCCAAACUCCUACGGGAGGCAGCAGUGGGGAAUAUUGCACAAUGGAGGAAACUCUGAUGCAGCAACGCCGCGUGAAGGAAGAAGGUUUUCGGAUCGUAAACUUCUAUCGAUAGGGAAGAAAGAAAUGACGGUACCUAAAUAAGAAGCCCCGGCUAACUACGUGCCAGCAGCCGCGGUAAUACGUAGGGGGCAAGCGUUAUC
Molecule: ribosomal RNA, 513 nt
Filed under: uncultured bacterium
Lineage: Bacteria
Description: bacterial SSU rRNA
Rfam family: Bacterial small subunit ribosomal RNA
Source: RNAcentral